AUUAGCUCCUUUUAUACUACUUGUCUUUAGAAAUCUAGUUGUUGUAUACUCUGAUAAUUUAUUAGAUGCUUUAUCUUGCCUUUCUAUACUGUUGUUAUAGACGUCUUAUAUGUUGUAGGCAUAUGGUAGGUCUGGACACGCACCGGGCGAGCUUUCGCUGGGUCCCGAGGCGUGACACAAAUAUUGAAUUAAACUAUCCAAUCAUAUAUAAUUAAAAUUAAAAUUUUAUAUAAACAAUAAUUUUUUAUUUUAAAAACAUUUUUGUAUAUUUUUUCAAACACACAAUUAAUGGUAACGUAGGCAACGACGGGUGUGUGCUGUUACUUGAUAACUUGGAGGACUUCAAGCUUGGCUCCUUGGGGUGAGAGACAGAAAAAAAAAAGAGAAAGAGAUUAGGAUUUUAGAACUCUGUGAAAGAAAGAGAGAAAGAGAGUAUAAAUUUAGUAGAAUUUUACUCUAUUGGAUUUGUUUUUAUGAGCCAAUAAUAUUGGUUCAAUUUUAAUUAAAUUCAGAUUACUCACUUAUAUAAUAAAAAUAUAUUAUAUUUAUAUAUUUUUUAAUAUAUAUAAUUUUGAGCUUUUCGAACAUAAUUCGAGCGAGCCGAAUAAUACUCAAGUUUGGCUUAAAAUAAAUUUUGAUCUUUUUCAUUUGUUCAAGUUCGGCUUAUUUAAUUUUGAGUCGAUCUCGAGCGAGCCGA
Molecule: long non-coding RNA, 697 nt
Filed under: Ananas comosus (pineapple)
Lineage: Eukaryota; Viridiplantae; Streptophyta; Magnoliopsida; Poales; Bromeliaceae
Description: long non-coding RNA (ACOM_LNC015237)
Source: RNAcentral